Molecule: ribosomal RNA, 253 nt
Filed under: uncultured bacterium
Lineage: Bacteria
Description: partial 16S ribosomal RNA
Rfam family: Bacterial small subunit ribosomal RNA
Source: RNAcentral
UACGUAGGGUGCGAGCGUUGUCCGGAAUUAUUGGGCGUAAAGGGCUCGUAGGCGGUUUGUCGCGUCGGGAGUGAAAACGCCGUGCUUAACACGGCGCUUGCUUUCGAUACGGGCAGACUGGAGGUAUGCAGGGGAGAACGGAAUUCCUGGUGUAGCGGUGAAAUGCGCAGAUAUCAGGAGGAACACCGGUGGCGAAGGCGGUUCUCUGGGCAUUACCUGACGCUGAGGAGCGAAAGUGUGGGGAGCGAACAGG